GUUUUGAUUUUUUCAUAUCGCAUCAGUGGCUUGCAACACCUGAAAUAUUGGAUUCCUAUUACGCGCGUGCUUUUAUUCAGAACAUCUAUAAAUAAAGAGCAUUUUCUUCCACAAAUGGCAUUGGCGAUUUCUGAAGAAUACAGACACUGUAACUUGAGUUUUAUGGUAUGGAAAAGAAUAUGGCGGCUGAUGGACAAACUCACAUGUUAACAAGUCCAACGAUGAAUUGGCAGAAGGCAUAGCUGGACAUUUCCUUAAUCCAAAUAUAAAAACUCCAAUCACUGUAGGCAUUACUGGUGGAUGUAAUGAGGGAGUGACCAGUCUCGUGGAAUUAUUAUUAAAUUUAUUUUUAUUUCAAAUCUCUCUUCCAGCAGGAUGUACUCAUCUGAUUCAGUGAUGAAAGAACAUCUGCUCCUCACUGCUGCUCAAGCCGCGUUUCUAGGUGAAGAUUUCAAUGAAAAGGGAGGAAGAAUAUGGAAAGGAGUUAACAAUUUAUUGGCCAAACAAAAUCCAGGAGAAUGCAAAACAAAAGAUCAAAAAAUGGCACUGGUCCAAUUUUUGGAGAAAUAUCAACCAGAACAUGAAGCAGUUUACAAAUCUCUGGCAUGCGUGGAGUUGAAACAACUGAUGAAAGAUCUAGAAGAUGUGUCGAAGGAGAAAUCGCCGGAAAUAGCUACUAGGGUUUUAACUGUAAAUUUCAGUGCUCGAAAUUACAAGGGAACGCUUGAAGCUUUCGAUGGUCUGGCAGUUGAGAUAACAAACGAAAUCGAGAAAUCUUUGACUCGUGCCCAGCGGUGGAGAACUUUCUGAAGACAUCGGAGAGAAAACAGUCAAAGCUCUUACAGUACGUCUAAUUUAUUGUGGCUUGCUUUAGCAUUUGUGGUGGUCUGGAUAGCCUCUGUAACAUGGAUGUUUUUAAACGGCGUCAAUUUGACCCAGUGGAAAAAGCUAAAAUAUGGAUCUAUACCUGCAACUGUAAUGGCGAUUUUCGUGCCUGCACUCAAGUUAUCAGUUUCUUUCUUCAAAUUGAAGCCCGUGAGCCAUUACGUGAGUCUUCGUUUCAGCUCUGAGAAUUCAGAGCAAUAUGGUCAGCAACAGAGGGUUAUUUCAGACAUCAAAUUUUUGAAGGAAGAAAUUGGGAGAAAACCCUCCAUUAUUUUUUCUUUCUUUGCAGGUGAAACAUUUACAUUUUGGCGGAGUUUCCUAGACGACAAGAUUAAGGGCACUCCUGUGCCCAAAUUUGGCUCAGCUCCACAAUAUAAGCUCCGUAUAAUAGCCUUUCUCAAUGACCUCGAUCAUUACGAAGACUCAGUUUUAGUGCGGGUGUUGCAGGUCUUAAACACGGUACUUAAAGUCUGUGAAAUCAACUUUAUUGUAGCGCUGGACAAGAAUAUUAUUAGAAAGGCAUUUCAAACUUGUUCAGAGAAUGAGGAUGAUGUCGACCACUUUAUUAGCAGAAUUGUGGAACUACCAGUAACCCUUGUACACCCAGCAGUUGAUGAAUGGGGAAAAAAGGACAACCCUAUAGUAAAAUAUGAGGCCAUACCCACGGAAAAUAACGUUUGGGCCUCUAAUGGACAAGUCAACACAAGAAGUGAUAUUGAGAAAGGCAUACAACUAACAUCCACAAAAAAAUCCAAGGAACUUCAAGAAAUGGCAAAUAGUAAAGAAGAAAUUGCAACAUUUCGUAGAUUGAAUUGCUUUGCAAGUGAAAUUCCUAAUCUUCGUUAGAGCUAUACAAAAUACCACAAUUCUGCAAGGAAUGUGAUAAGCAAAACAAUGGGGAAUGACAGAGAAAAUUCUCAUCAAUGGAAAGUUGAAUUAGUGGCUUGGAUCUUUAUAUGUUCUCAAUGGAGACAUGAAAUGAACAUUCUCAUUAAGGAUUGGCAUACCUACAUUGAUUUCAAAGAAGAUGAGAAAAUGAAACAAGAACCUUCUCUCAAGGAUAUUGUUGCCAAUUAUAUAAAAAAACGAAAUGAAUCCAAUGAGGAGAAGAAGAAAGAAGAGAGGACAAGGCUUAAAGAUACUUUAGCUACCAUCCAAGAUACACCAAAGAAAUUCUCACUUGGUUUUGAAGAAAUGCAACUUGGUGAUGUUCUUUCAAGGUGGGUACUUAAAAUGGACACUGAGGUUUCCAUGUUAAUGGAAAAGGAGAAGAGGAAAAUGGAUGAGGAAAAGAAGGAACUAGAUCGAUGGUAUAACUUGCACAAAGCCUUAAAAGUUCAAGACGUAUCAAUGAAGAGUAUCCAAUGGUUUCAACACUUUAGAUUUCAUUGUGGUGUAGGAUAUCUUACUCCUCUCCAACUUUAGUUUUACCUUACAACUCCUAAGUUACAAAUAAAGUACUAUAUAAUGUAUUAUUAUUCUAUUAAAUGUAUCAAAAAAAUGUUUUAAA
This is an RNA transcript of Cryptomeria japonica (Japanese cedar), 2395 nucleotides long. RefSeq lists it as uncharacterized. The transcript has 8 exons. Lineage: Eukaryota; Viridiplantae; Streptophyta; Pinopsida; Cupressales; Cupressaceae. The record is from RefSeq and is a predicted model, not a curated record.